This 460-nucleotide ribosomal RNA is filed under the name uncultured bacterium. RNAcentral describes it as "partial 16S ribosomal RNA". It matches the Rfam family "Bacterial small subunit ribosomal RNA", at positions 338 to 795 of the family's 1533-position model. The record is from RNAcentral.
CCUACGGGAGGCUGCAGUGAGGAAUAUUGGUCAAUGGACGCAAGUCUGAACCAGCCAUGCCGCGUGCAGGAUGACGGCUCUAUGAGUUGUAAACUGCUUUUGUACGAGGGUAAACCCCGAUACGUGUCUCGUGUUGAAAGUAUCGUACGAAUAAGGAUCGGCUAACUCCGUGCCAGCAGCCGCGGUAAUACGGAGGAUCCGAGCGUUAUCCGGAUUUAUUGGGUUUAAAGGGUGCGUAGGCGGUUUGAUAAGUUAGAGGUGAAAUGUCGGGGCUCAACCCCGAAACUGCCUCUAAUACUGUUGGACUAGAGAAUAGUUGCGGUAGGCGGAAUGUAUGGUGUAGCGGUGAAAUGCUUAGAGAUCAGACAGAACACCGAUUGCGAAGGCAGCUUACCAAACUAUAUCUGACGUUGAGGCACGAAAGCGUGGGUAGCAAACAGGAUUAGAUACCCCAGUAGUC